ACCUUUUGAGUUUGUUCUUGUGGGUUUCGAGGAGUUUAAAAGCCUUCGGAUUUGCUAGGAUUGGGCUCUUUUGGUGUACUUUCUCGUACGGUUAGUCAACAUCGGUUUUGAAUGUCAUAAAAUGACUGGAGGAAUGUGGCUUCGAUCUCGCAUCGAAGUGUUAUAACCUUUGGUAGAUGUGAUGUUCGAGACCGAGGAUUGCAACGGAUACCCUUCUGGGCUAUUCGUCUGAUCUCUGAUACGUUGCCUUGAUGUCGAAAGCGUGCUUAUGAUGUUAGGGUAUUACGGUCAAAAGGUUAGAACGGAUUAAAUUCGUUAAGGAUGUUGACGUAAUGACUUU
RNAcentral lists this ribosomal RNA (340 nucleotides) under uncultured Glomeromycotina. Its description in RNAcentral is "eukaryotic LSU rRNA". Lineage: Eukaryota; Fungi; Glomeromycota. The record is from RNAcentral.